GCUGGGUACAGUGGCGCGUGCCUGUAGUCCCAGCUACUUGGGAGGCUGAGGCGGGAGAAUCGCUUGAACCCAGGAGGUGGAGGUUGCAAUGAGUCAAGAUCACGCCAUUGUACUCCAGCCUGGGCAACAGAGCGAGAUUCCGUCUCAA
Molecule: unclassified non-coding RNA, 148 nt
Organism: Papio anubis (olive baboon)
Lineage: Eukaryota; Metazoa; Chordata; Mammalia; Primates; Cercopithecidae
Rfam family: Metazoan signal recognition particle RNA
About the family: The signal recognition particle (SRP) is a universally conserved ribonucleoprotein. It is involved in the co-translational targeting of proteins to membranes.
Source: Ensembl